RNAcentral lists this small RNA (553 nucleotides) under Pan troglodytes (chimpanzee). RNAcentral's name for it is "retained intron". The record is from RNAcentral. Lineage: Eukaryota; Metazoa; Chordata; Mammalia; Primates; Hominidae.
CCCAGGCCAGCCUACCGGCGACUAGGAUGCUUUCGCUUUCGCUCUCGCUUUCCAAUACUCGGGACUGGGGAAACCGGGAGAAUAGAAGCAGGCAAGGACCGCCGUGGGCAUGGGGUGUCCCCAGCGCAGCCAAUCGGCUUCCGAAGUAGGUGAGUUGCUGCCUGAAGAGAAAAGACAAACUCCAGUAUCUUUCAUUCCAUUGGCCAGACGCGCCAUUCCCCAAGUGAGUUCUGUUCUCCAACCAAAGUGCUGGAUUCCAAGGGACUGGAAGGGAAAGUCCCUAAAAAUCACGAGUUCAGGCGUCUGAGACUUGGUGGGAACGGACCUUCCUCUUAGGUUCUCUGCUGUUUAAAAAGUAUCCCUGUGCUUUGAAGAUACUGCUAUAAUUUGAAAAUUUGAAAUUAGUGUUUCAGCUGAACCAUCCGUUCAUCUUCAAGCCAUCAUGAGCUGUAAGAAGCAGAGGUCACGGAAGCACUCAGUCAAUGAAAAAUGUAAUACGAAAAUCGAGCAGUAUUUUUCUCCGGUAUGUCUGUAAAUUCUACUUAUGUAAUCU